Molecule: ribosomal RNA, 263 nt
Filed under: Klebsiella pneumoniae
Lineage: Bacteria; Pseudomonadati; Pseudomonadota; Gammaproteobacteria; Enterobacterales; Enterobacteriaceae
Description: partial 23S ribosomal RNA
Rfam family: Bacterial large subunit ribosomal RNA
Source: RNAcentral
GAAGGCUAUGUUAGCCGGGCGACGGUUGUCCCGGUUUAAGCAUGUAGGCUGGUUGUCCAGGCAAAUCCGGAUAAUCAAGGCUGAGGUGUGAUGACGAGGCACUACGGUGCUGAAGUAACAAAUGCCCUGCUUCCAGGAAAAGCCUCUAAGCAUCAGGUAACAUCAAAUCGUACCCCAAACCGACACAGGUGGUCAGGUAGAGAAUACCAAGGCGCUUGAGAGAACUCGGGUGAAGGAACUAGGCAAAAUGGUGCCGUAACUUC